Molecule: long non-coding RNA, 300 nt
Filed under: Pan troglodytes (chimpanzee)
Lineage: Eukaryota; Metazoa; Chordata; Mammalia; Primates; Hominidae
Description: lncRNA (ENSPTRG00000053912.1)
Source: RNAcentral
AUGCUUAGAAAAUACAUCAGAGGAGGACAGAAACUCAGAUAUCUCUGCAUCCUGAAUUCAUUGGUGGAAUUGCUACUGUGCCCAGUAAAGUUCUCCAUUAUGCCCUUCAAACCCAGAGAUAGGGAAGUGGUUUGUGCCCAUGAGUUUAAUUGGAACUGGCUGCUUUUGUUCCAAGGAAGAGUGAAGAGUAGAGUCGGAGGUGGGGGAUGGUGUGAAAUGAACAGUGAAGGAGUCUACCAACUGAAAAAUUUCCUGAAUGAAAUUCUACAUAAUCAACUCUAACCUCUACCUCAAACUUUG